UCAGGAUGAACGCUGGCGGCGUGCUUAACACAUGCAAGUCGAACGAAGCACUUUAUUACAAUUUCUUCGGAAUGACGAUUUAGUGACUGAGUGGCGGACGGGUGAGUAACGCGUGGGUAACCUGCCUUAUACAGGGGGAUAACAGUUAGAAAUGACUGCUAAUACCGCAUAAGCGCACAGGAUUGCAUGAUCUGGUGUGAAAAACUCCGGUGGUAUAAGAUGGACCCGCGUCUGAUUAGCUGGUUGGUGAGGUAACGGCCCACCAAGGCGACGAUCAGUAGCCGACCUGAGAGGGUGACCGGCCACAUUGGGACUGAGACACGGCCCAAACUCCUACGGGAGGCAGCAGUGGGAAUAUUGCACAAUGGGGGAAACCCUGAUGCAGCGACGCCGCGUGAGCGAAGAAGUAUUUCGGUAUGUAAAGCUCUAUCAGCAGGGAAGAAGAAAUGACGGUACCUGACUAAGAAGCUCCGGCUAAAUACGUG
RNAcentral lists this ribosomal RNA (485 nucleotides) under uncultured bacterium. RNAcentral describes it as "bacterial SSU rRNA". It matches the Rfam family "Bacterial small subunit ribosomal RNA", at positions 24 to 507 of the family's 1533-position model. The record is from RNAcentral.